RNAcentral lists this ribosomal RNA (490 nucleotides) under uncultured bacterium. RNAcentral's name for it is "partial 16S ribosomal RNA". It matches the Rfam family "Bacterial small subunit ribosomal RNA", at positions 30 to 507 of the family's 1533-position model. The record is from RNAcentral.
AUUGAACGCUGGCGGCAGGCCUAACACAUGCAAGUCGAACGGUAACAGGAAGAAGCUUGCUUCUUUGCUGACGAGUGGCGGACGGGUGAGUAAUGUCUGGGAAACUGCCUGAUGGAGGGGGAUAACUACUGGAAACGGUAGCUAAUACCGCAUAACGUCGCAAGACCAAAGAGGGGGACCUUCGGGCCUCUUGCCAUCGGAUGUGCCCAGAUGGGAUUAGCUAGUAGGUGGGGUAACGGCUCACCUAGGCGACGAUCCCUAACUGGUCUGAGAGGAUGACCAGCCACACUGGAACUGAGACACGGUCCAGACUCCUACGGGAGGCAGCAGUGGGGAAUAUUGCACAAUGGGCGCAAGCCUGAUGCAGCCAUGCCGCGUGUAUGAAGAAGGCCUUCGGGUUGUAAAGUACUUUCAGCGGGGAGGAAGGGAGUAAAGUUAAUACCUUUGCUCAUUGACGUUACCCGCAGAAGAAGCACCGGCUAACUCCGUG